This is a small nuclear RNA of Colobus angolensis palliatus, 104 nucleotides long. Lineage: Eukaryota; Metazoa; Chordata; Mammalia; Primates; Cercopithecidae. The record is from Ensembl.
GUGUUGACUUCCACAGCACGUAUAGUAAAAUUGGAAUGAUACAGAGAUUAGUAUGACCCCUGCACAAGGAUGACACACAAAUUAGUGAAGCGUUCCAUAUUAAA